UGGGGAAUCUUGCGCAAUGGGCGAAAGCCUGACGCAGCGACGCCGCGUGAGUGAUGAAGGCCUUCGGGUUGUAAAGCUCUGUGGGGAGAGACGAAUAAGUGCAGGCUAAUACCCGGCAUGAUGACGGUAUCUCCUUAGCAAGCACCGGCUAACUCUGUGCCAGCAGCCGCGGUAAGACAGAGGGUGCAAACGUUGUUCGGAAUUACUGGGCGUAAAGCGUGUGUAGGCGGCCAUAUAAGUCGGAUGUGAAAGCCCUGGGCUCAACCCAGGAAGUGCACUCGAUACUGUAUGGCUCGAGUACUGGAGAGGUUGGUGGAAUUCUCGGUGUAGAGGUGAAAUUCGUAGAUAUCGAGAGGAACACCGGUGGCGAAGGCGGCCAACUGGACAGAUACUGACGCUGAGACACGAAAGCGUGGGGAGCAAACAGGAUUAGAUACCCGCGUAGUCC
Molecule: ribosomal RNA, 448 nt
Filed under: uncultured bacterium
Lineage: Bacteria
Description: bacterial SSU rRNA
Rfam family: Bacterial small subunit ribosomal RNA
Source: RNAcentral